This 540-nucleotide ribosomal RNA is filed under the name uncultured Gallionellaceae bacterium. RNAcentral describes it as "bacterial SSU rRNA". It matches the Rfam family "Bacterial small subunit ribosomal RNA", at positions 135 to 671 of the family's 1533-position model. Lineage: Bacteria; Pseudomonadati; Pseudomonadota; Betaproteobacteria; Nitrosomonadales; Gallionellaceae. The record is from RNAcentral.
UAUGGGGGAUAACGUAGCGAAAGUUACGCUAAUACCGCAUAUGCCCUGAGGGGAAAGGUGGGGAUCGCAAGACCUAUCGUUUUCGGAGUGGCCGAUAUCAGAUUAGCUAGUUGGUGAGGUAAAGGCUCACCAAGGCGACGAUCUGUAGCUGGUCUGAGAGGACGACCAGCCACACUGGGACUGAGACACGGCCCAGACUCCUACGGGAGGCAGCAGUGGGGAAUUUUGGACAAUGGGGGCAACCCUGAUCCAGCCAUGCCGCGUGAGUGAAGAAGGCCUUCGGGUUGUAAAGCUCUUUCAGACGGAAAGAAAUCGCUAUUCCUAAUAUGAGUGGUGGAUGACGGUACCGUCAGAAGAAGCACCGGCUAACUACGUGCCAGCAGCCGCGGUAAUACGUAGGGUGCGAGCGUUAAUCGGAAUUACUGGGCGUAAAGCGUGCGCAGGCGGUUUUGUAAGACAGACGUGAAAUCCCCGGGCUUAACCUGGGAACUGCGUUUGUGACUGCAAGGCUAGAGUACGGCAGAGGGGGGUAGAAUUCCA